UUUUUUUUUGGUUUUAA
Molecule: small RNA, 17 nt
Filed under: Arabidopsis thaliana (thale cress)
Lineage: Eukaryota; Viridiplantae; Streptophyta; Magnoliopsida; Brassicales; Brassicaceae
Description: ATSL114680
Source: RNAcentral